AAAAAGAAAAAGAAGAGAGAAGGUUAGCACUCUCCUUGACAAGACAGAAGAGGCUUUGGCCUGCAACACAUAUGGUUAAAGCAUGGCCACCUACUUCGUAGCAUCAACUGUUUUUU
This 116-nucleotide non-coding RNA is filed under the name Erinaceus europaeus (western European hedgehog). Lineage: Eukaryota; Metazoa; Chordata; Mammalia; Eulipotyphla; Erinaceidae. The record is from RNAcentral.